This 472-nucleotide ribosomal RNA is filed under the name uncultured bacterium. Its description in RNAcentral is "bacterial SSU rRNA". It matches the Rfam family "Bacterial small subunit ribosomal RNA", at positions 28 to 507 of the family's 1533-position model. The record is from RNAcentral.
GACGAACGCUGGCGGCGUGCCUAACACAUGCAAGUCGAGCGGGGAAGAUUGGAAGCUUGCUUUUGAUCUUUCUAGCGGCGGACGGGUGAGUAACGCGUGAGCAAUCUGUCUCAAACAGGGGGAUAACGCAGCGAAAGUUGCACUAAUACCGCAUAAGACCACAGUGCCGCAUGGCACAGGGGUCAAAGGAGUAAUCCGGUUUGAGGUGAGCUCGCGUCCCAUUAGGUAGUUGGUGAGGUAACGGCCCACCAAGCCUACGAUGGGUAGCCGACCUGAGAGGGUGAUCGGCCACACUGGAACUGAGACACGGUCCAGACUCCUACGGGAGGCAGCAGUGGGGAAUAUUGGGCAAUGGGCGAAAGCCUGACCCAGCAACGCCGCGUGAGGGAAGAAGGUUCUCGGAUUGUAAACCUCUGUCCUAAGGGACGAAGAAGUGACGGUACCAUAGGAGGAAGCCCCGGCUAACUACGUG